AUACGUAGGUGGCAAGCGUUGUCCGGAUUUAUUGGGCGUAAAGCGAGCGCAGGCGGUUUCUUAAGUCUGAUGUGAAAGCCCCCGGCUCAACCGGGGAGGGUCAUUGGAAACUGGGAAACUUGAGUGCAGAAGAGGAGAGUGGAAUUCCAUGUGUAGCGGUGAAAUGCGUAGAUAGAUGGAGGAACACCAGUGGCGAAGGCGGCUCUUUGGUCUGUACCUGACGCUGAGGCUCGAAAGCGUGGGGAGCAAACAGGAUUAGAUACCCUGGUAGUCCACGCCGUAAACGAUGAGUGCUAAGUGUUGGAGGGUUUCCGCCCUUCAGUGCUGCAGCUAACGCAUUAAGCACUCCGCCUGGGGAGUACGACCGCAAGGUUGAAACUCAAAGGAAUUGACGGGG
RNAcentral lists this ribosomal RNA (397 nucleotides) under uncultured bacterium. RNAcentral's name for it is "partial 16S ribosomal RNA". It matches the Rfam family "Bacterial small subunit ribosomal RNA", at positions 523 to 918 of the family's 1533-position model. The record is from RNAcentral.